UACUGGAUACGACCUUCUGGCGCAUGCCAUGUUGGUGGAAAGCUUUUGUGGAUUUUGGAUGGACUCGUGGCCUAUCAGCUUGUUGAUGGGGUAAUGGCCUACCAAGGCGACGACGGGUAGCCGGCCUGAGAGGGUGACCGGCCACACUGGGACUGAGACACGGCCCAGACUCCUACGGGAGGCAGCAGUGGGGAAUAUUGCACAAUGGGCGCAAGCCUGAUGCAGCGACGCCGCGUGAGGGAUGAAGGCCUUCGGGUUGUAAACCUCUUUCAGUAGGGAAGAAGCUGGUCCUUCGGGGUUGGUGACGGUACCUGCAGAAGAAGCGCCGGCUAACUACGUGCCAGCAGCCGCGGUAAUACGUAGGGCGCAAGCGUUAUCCGGAAUUAUUGGGCGUAAAGAGCUCGUAGGCGGUUUGUCGCGUCUGCCGUGAAAGUCCGGGGCUUAACCCCGGAUCUGCGGUGGGUACGGGCAGACUAGAGUGCAGUAGGGGAGACUGGAAUUCCUGGUGUAGCGGUGAAAUGCGCAGAUAUCAGGAGGAACACCGAUGGCGAAGGCAGGUCUCUGGGCUGUAACUGACGCUGAGGAGCGAAAGCAUGGGGAGCGAACAGGAUUAGAUACCCUGGUAGUCCAUGCCGUAAACGUUGGGCACUAGGUGUGGGGGACAUUCCACGUUUUCCGCGCCGUAGCUAACGCAUUAAGUGCCCCGCCUGGGGAGUACGGCCGCAAGGCUAAAACUCAAAGGAAUUGACGGGGGCCCGCACAAGCGGCGGAGCAUGCGGAUUAAUUCGAUGCAACGCGAAGAACCUUACCAAGGCUUGACAUGAACCGGAAUGAUGCAGAGUUGUGUCAGCCACUUGUGGCCGGUUUACAGGUGGUGCAUGGUUGUCGUCAGCUCGUGUCGUGAGAUGUUGGGUUAUGUCGGGCGGGUGGGGCAACCCUCGUUACAUGUUUCCAGCCGGUUAUGCCGGGGACUCAUGGGAGGCUGCCGGGGUCAACUCGGAGGAAGGUGGGGACGACGUUAAAUCAUCAUGCCCCCUAUGUCUUGGGCGUCACGCAUGUUACAAUGGCCGGUACAAAGGGUUGCGAUACUGUGAGGUGGAGCUAAUCCCAAAAAGCCGGUCUCAGUUCGGAU
RNAcentral lists this ribosomal RNA (1132 nucleotides) under uncultured bacterium. RNAcentral describes it as "bacterial SSU rRNA". It matches the Rfam family "Bacterial small subunit ribosomal RNA", at positions 167 to 1298 of the family's 1533-position model. The record is from RNAcentral.